CCUUAAACUUGUCAUGUGUCAUGA
RNAcentral lists this non-coding RNA (24 nucleotides) under Arabidopsis thaliana (thale cress). Lineage: Eukaryota; Viridiplantae; Streptophyta; Magnoliopsida; Brassicales; Brassicaceae. The record is from RNAcentral.